GAGUAGUGGGGGAUAACUGAUCGAAAGAUCAGCUAAUACCGCAUACGUCUUGAGAGAGAAAGCAGGGGACCUUCGGGCCUUGCGCUAUUCGAGCGGCCGAUAUCUGAUUAGCUAGUUGGUGGGGUAAAGGCCCACCAAGGCGACGAUCAGUAGCGGGUCUGAGAGGAUGAUCCGCCACACUGGGACUGAGACACGGCCCAGAC
Molecule: ribosomal RNA, 203 nt
Filed under: Neisseria meningitidis
Lineage: Bacteria; Pseudomonadati; Pseudomonadota; Betaproteobacteria; Neisseriales; Neisseriaceae
Description: partial 16S ribosomal RNA
Rfam family: Bacterial small subunit ribosomal RNA
Source: RNAcentral